This 303-nucleotide unclassified non-coding RNA is filed under the name plant metagenome. Its description in RNAcentral is "partial contains 5.8S ribosomal RNA, internal transcribed spacer 2, and large subunit ribosomal RNA". The stretch from base 1 to 105 matches the Rfam family "5.8S ribosomal RNA", at positions 50 to 154 of the family's 154-position model. The record is from RNAcentral.
GAAAUGCGAUAAGUAAUGUGAAUUGCAGAAUUCAGUGAAUCAUCGAAUCUUUGAACGCACAUUGCGCCCGCCAGUAUUCUGGCGGGCAUGCCUGUUCGAGCGUCAUUUCAACCAUCAAGCCCCGCGCUUGUGUUGGGGACCUGCGGCUGCCGCAGGCCCUGAAAACCAGUGGUGGGCUCGCUGUCACACCGGGCGUAGUAGAUUUUAUCUCGCUCAGGGCGUGCUGCGGGUUCCGGCCGUUAAAAAGCCUUUUUUACCCAAGGUUGACCUCGGAUCAGGUAGGAAGACCCGCUGAACUUAAGC